GUACAUAGCUCUGUGGUAGAGUGCUUGCCUAGCAAGUGUGAAGCCCUGGGUUCUAUCCCCAGUGUUACC
This 69-nucleotide transfer RNA is filed under the name Marmota monax (woodchuck). RNAcentral's name for it is "tRNA.Ala". It matches the Rfam family "tRNA", at positions 5 to 66 of the family's 71-position model. Rfam says of the family: Transfer RNA (tRNA) molecules are approximately 80 nucleotides in length. The record is from RNAcentral. Lineage: Eukaryota; Metazoa; Chordata; Mammalia; Rodentia; Sciuridae.